RNAcentral lists this ribosomal RNA (520 nucleotides) under Micrococcus sp. Its description in RNAcentral is "bacterial SSU rRNA". It matches the Rfam family "Bacterial small subunit ribosomal RNA", at positions 917 to 1436 of the family's 1533-position model. The record is from RNAcentral. Lineage: Bacteria; Bacillati; Actinomycetota; Actinomycetes; Micrococcales; Micrococcaceae.
GGGCCCGCACAAGCGGCGGAGCAUGCGGAUUAAUUCGAUGCAACGCGAAGAACCUUACCAAGGCUUGACAUGUUCUCGAUCGCCGUAGAGAUACGGUUUCCCCUUUGGGGCGGGUUCACAGGUGGUGCAUGGUUGUCGUCAGCUCGUGUCGUGAGAUGUUGGGUUAAGUCCCGCAACGAGCGCAACCCUCGUUCCAUGUUGCCAGCACUUCGGGUGGGGACUCAUGGGAGACUGCCGGGGUCAACUCGGAGGAAGGUGGGGACGACGUCAAAUCAUCAUGCCCCUUAUGUCUUGGGCUUCACGCAUGCUACAAUGGCCGGUACAAUGGGUUGCGAUACUGUGAGGUGGAGCUAAUCCCAAAAAGCCGGUCUCAGUUCGGAUUGGGGUCUGCAACUCGACCCCAUGAAGUCGGAGUCGCUAGUAAUCGCAGAUCAGCAACGCUGCGGUGAAUACGUUCCCGGGCCUUGUACACACCGCCCGUCAAGUCACGAAAGUCGGUAACACCCGAAGCCGGUGGCCU